AACGAACGCUGGCGGCAGGCUUAACACAUGCAAGUCGAGCGCCCCGCAAGGGGAGCGGCAGACGGGUGAGUAACGCGUGGGAAUCUACCUAUCACUACGGAACAACUCCGGGAAACUGGAGCUAAUACCGUAUACGUCCGAGAGGAGAAAGAUUUAUCGGUGAUAGAUGAGCCCGCGUUGGAUUAGCUAGUUGGUGGGGUAAUGGCCUACCAAGGCGACGAUCCAUAGCUGGUCUGAGAGGAUGAUCAGCCACACUGGGACUGAGACACGGCCCAGACUCCUACGGGAGGCAGCAGUGGGGAAUAUUGGACAAUGGGCGAAAGCCUGAUCCAGCCAUGCCGCGUGAGUGAUGAAGGCCUUAGGGGUUGUAAAGCUCUUUCACCCGGUGAAAGAGUAAAUGACGGUAACCGGAGAAG
RNAcentral lists this ribosomal RNA (416 nucleotides) under uncultured bacterium. Its description in RNAcentral is "bacterial SSU rRNA". It matches the Rfam family "Bacterial small subunit ribosomal RNA", at positions 29 to 487 of the family's 1533-position model. The record is from RNAcentral.